GGACUACUGGGGUUUCUAAUCCUGUUUGCUCCCCUAGCUUUCGUGCCUCAGUGUCAGGAAUUGUCCAGAGACUCGCCUUCGCCACUGGUGUUCCACUUGAUAUCUACGCAUUUCACUGCUACACCAAGUAUUCCAGUCUCCCUUCCAAUCCUCGAGCGGGAUAGUAUUCAAUGCAGUUUCCGGGUUAAGCCCGGAGAUUUCACAUCAAACUUACCCUGCCACCUACGCACCCUUUACGCCCAGUGAAUCCGAACAACGCUUGGGACCUCUGUAUUACCGCGGCUGCUGGCAC
Molecule: ribosomal RNA, 292 nt
Filed under: uncultured Verrucomicrobiota bacterium
Lineage: Bacteria; Pseudomonadati; Verrucomicrobiota
Description: uncultured Verrucomicrobia bacterium partial 16S ribosomal RNA
Source: RNAcentral